GUGUCAAUGGUGUGGCACGCGUACUUG
RNAcentral lists this transfer RNA (27 nucleotides) under Lilium tsingtauense. RNAcentral's name for it is "tRNA-Thr". The record is from RNAcentral. Lineage: Eukaryota; Viridiplantae; Streptophyta; Magnoliopsida; Liliales; Liliaceae.